RNAcentral lists this ribosomal RNA (119 nucleotides) under Pteropus alecto (black flying fox). Lineage: Eukaryota; Metazoa; Chordata; Mammalia; Chiroptera; Pteropodidae. The record is from RNAcentral.
AUCUAUGGCCAUGCCAACCUGAACGUGUCUGAUCUCGUCUGAUCUCAGAAGCUAAGCAGGGUCAGGCCUGUUUAGUUCUUAGAUAGGAGACCACCUAGGAAGACCAGGUGCUGUAGGUG